This 460-nucleotide ribosomal RNA is filed under the name uncultured bacterium. Its description in RNAcentral is "partial 16S ribosomal RNA". It matches the Rfam family "Bacterial small subunit ribosomal RNA", at positions 338 to 795 of the family's 1533-position model. The record is from RNAcentral.
CCUACGGGUGGCAGCAGUGAGGAAUAUUGGUCAAUGGGCGGAAGCCUGAACCAGCCAAGUCGCGUGAGGGAAGACUGCCCUAUGGAUUGUAAACUUCUUUUGUCGGGGAGUAAAAGACGCUACGUGUGCCGUUUUGCGUGUACCCGAAGAAUAAGCAUCGGCUAACUCCGUGCCAGCAGCCGCGGUAAUACGGAGGGUGCAAGCGUUACCCGGAUUUACUGGGCGUAAAGAGUGCGCAGGCGGGUUUGUAAGUCAGAUGUGAAAGGCUGUGGCUUAACUACAAAAUUGCAGUUGAUACUGGGAGUCUAGAGUGUGGGAGAGGUAGGUGGAAUUCGUGGUGUAGGGGUGAAAUGCGUAGAUAUCAAGAGGAAUUCUCAUUGCGAAGGCGGCCUACUGGAACGUUACUGACGCUCAUGCACGAAAGCGUGGGGAGCAAACAGGAUUAGAUACCCGGGUAGUC